CUAGAGAAAACACCACUAAUGAUCCAUGGUGAACAACUUAUUUUCCUUCUAUGGCAAAAAAAUUUAGAUGUAUUGAGUGUGAAAGACUGGUUCAACAUUUGAAAAUCAAUCAGUUUAAUUCACCAUAUCAACAGGCUGAACAAGAAAAGUCAUGUGAUUGUAUCAGUUGACACAGAAAAGCAUUUAACAAAAAUCCAGCACUGAUUUAUGAUUAAAACAAAGAAACAAACUCUCAGCACAUUAGAAAUAGAGUGGAGUUAAGAGCAUCUACCGAAACUUUCAGCUAACAUCACACCUAAGGCUAAAAGACGGACUAUUUUCCUUCCAAGAUUGAAACAAGAUGGCAAAACAAUUUAAGUAUCUGGAAUCACAUAUUCCUUAUCUGAUCUUGAAAACUUACAAUGAUUAAAGAAUCUCGAUCUUUGAAGAAAUUCCGAUUUCCUGUGUGCUGGCUUUAUCAACAAAGAGGUUCUCACCAGACAGCAGUCCCUGACAUUCUACAUCUCUACAAGCUUAAUGGAAAGAAUGCGCCAUCUUGUAAAUAAAUCCGGUAAAAU
This is a long non-coding RNA of Symphalangus syndactylus (siamang), 557 nucleotides long. RefSeq lists it as uncharacterized. The record is from RefSeq and is a predicted model, not a curated record. NCBI's taxonomy places the organism in Eukaryota, Metazoa, Chordata, Mammalia, Primates, Hylobatidae.